RNAcentral lists this transfer RNA (72 nucleotides) under Microcystis aeruginosa. RNAcentral describes it as "tRNA-Val". It matches the Rfam family "tRNA". From Rfam's summary of the family: Transfer RNA (tRNA) molecules are approximately 80 nucleotides in length. Their secondary structure includes four short double-helical elements and three loops (D, anti-codon, and T loops). Lineage: Bacteria; Bacillati; Cyanobacteriota; Cyanophyceae; Chroococcales; Microcystaceae. RNAcentral also lists the same sequence under 323 other names. The record is from RNAcentral.
GGGCGUUUAGCUCAGUGGUAGAGCGCCUGCCUUACAAGCAGGAUGCCGUAAGUUCGACCCUUACAACGCCCA